UUGGAGGGCAAGUCUGGUGCCAGCAGCCGCGGUAAUUCCAGCUCCAAUAGCGUAUAUUAAAGUUGUUGCAGUUAAAAAGCUCGUAGUUGAAUUUCGGGGUUAGUAGGUUGGUCAUGCCUCUGGUAUGUACUGGUCUCACUGAUUCCUCCUUCCUGAUGAACCAUAAUGCCAUUAAUUUGGUGUUGCGGGGAAUUUGGACUGUUACUUUGAAAAAAUUAGAGUGUUUAAAGCAAGCUAACGCUUGAAUACAUUAGCAUGGAAUAAUGAAAUAGGACGUUCGAUCCUAUUUUGUUGGUUUCUAGGAUUGACGUAAUGAUUAAUAGGGAUAGUUGGGGGCAUUAGUAUUCAAUUGCCAGAGGUGAAAUUCUUGGAUUUGUUGAAGACUAACUACUGCGAAAGCAUUUGCCAAGGAUGUUUUCAUUAAUCAAGAACGAAAGUUAGGGGAUCGAAGACGAUCAGAUACCGUCGUAGUCUUAACCAUAAACUAUGCCGACUAGGGAUCGGAUGAUGUUAAUUUUUUAAUGACUCAUUCGGCGCCUUACGGGAAAC
Molecule: ribosomal RNA, 549 nt
Filed under: uncultured Glomus
Lineage: Eukaryota; Fungi; Glomeromycota; Glomeromycetes; Glomerales; Glomeraceae
Description: SSU rRNA
Rfam family: Eukaryotic small subunit ribosomal RNA
Source: RNAcentral